UACGUAGGGUGCGAGCGUUGUCCGGAAUUAUUGGGCGUAAAGAGCUUGUAGGUGGUUUGUCGCGUCUGCUGUGAAAAUCCGAGGCUCAACCUCGGACUUGCAGUGGGUACGGGCAGACUAGAGUGUGGUAGGGGAGACUGGAAUUCCUGGUGUAGCGGUGGAAUGCGCAGAUAUCAGGAGGAACACCCAUGGCGAAGGCAGAUCUCUGGGCCGUAACUGACGCUGAGGAGCGAAAGCGUGGGGAGCGAACAGG
Molecule: ribosomal RNA, 253 nt
Filed under: uncultured bacterium
Lineage: Bacteria
Description: partial 16S ribosomal RNA
Rfam family: Bacterial small subunit ribosomal RNA
Source: RNAcentral